AGUCGAGCGAACGGACGAGAAGCUUGCUUCUCUGAUGUUAGCGGCGGACGGGUGAGUAACACGUGGAUAACCUACCUAUAAGACUGGGAUAACUUCGGGAAACCGGAGCUAAUACCGGAUAAUAUUUUGAACCGCAUGGUUCAAAAGUGAAAGACGGUCUUGCUGUCACUCUAUAGAUGGAUCCGCGCUGCAUUAGCUAGUUGGUAAGGUAACGGCUUACCAAGGCAACGAUGCAUAGCCGACCUGAGAGGGUGAUCGGCCACACUGGAACUGAGACACGGUCCAGACUCCUACGGGAGGCAGCAGUAGGGAAUCUUCCGCAAUGGGCGAAAGCCUGACGGAGCAACGCCGCGUGAGUGAUGAAGGUCUUCGGAUCGUAAAACUCUGUUAUUAGGGAAGAACAUAUGUGUAAGUAACUGUGCACAUCUUGACGGUACCUAAUCAGAAAGCCACGGCUAACUACGUGCCAGCAGCCGCGGUAAUACGUAGGUGGCAAGCGUUAUCCGGAAUUAUUGGGCGUAAAGCGCGCGUAGGCGGUUUUUUAAGUCUGAUGUGAAAGCCCACGGCUCAACCGUGGAGGGUCAUUGGAAACUGGAAAACUUGAGUGCAGAAGAGGAAAGUGGAAUUCCAUGUGUAGCGGUGAAAUGCGCAGAGAUAUGGAGGAACACCAGUGGCGAAGGCGACUUUCUGGUCUGUAACUGACGCUGAUGUGCGAAAGCGUGGGGAUCAAA
RNAcentral lists this ribosomal RNA (731 nucleotides) under uncultured Staphylococcus sp. Its description in RNAcentral is "bacterial SSU rRNA". It matches the Rfam family "Bacterial small subunit ribosomal RNA", at positions 60 to 772 of the family's 1533-position model. Lineage: Bacteria; Bacillati; Bacillota; Bacilli; Caryophanales; Staphylococcaceae. The record is from RNAcentral.